GUGGCAGACGGGUGAGUAACACAUUGGUAACCUACCUCUAACUGGGGAAUAACCCGAAGAAAUUUGGGCUAAUACCCCAUAUUCUUUUCUCUCAUAUGAGUGAAAAGGAAAGCUCCGGCAGUUAGAGAGGGGCCUAUGGUCCAUCAGCUUGUUGGUGAGGUAAAAGCUCACCAAGGCUAUGACGGAUAGCGGGUGUGAGAGCAUGGCCCGCCUCAAUGGGACUGAAACACUGCCCAUACUCCUACGGGAGGCUGCAGUCGAGAAUCUUCCUCAAUGCGUGAAAGCGUGAAGGAGCAAUGCCGCGUGCCGGAAGACGCCUUUCGGGGUGUAAACGGCUUUUAUGCGGGAACAAACUUCGGUUGAGUGUACCACUUGAAUAAGUGGUUGCUAACUCUGUGCCAGCAGCAGCGGUAAUACAGAGACCUCAAGCGUUAUCCGGAUUUAUUGGGCGUAAAGGGUCCGUAGGCUGUUUGCCAAGUUUCUCGUCAAAUUUUACGGCUUAACCGUAAAACUGCGAGGAAAACUGACAAACUAGAGACUGGGAGAGGCAAGCGGAACGGCUGGUGUAGGGGUAAAAUCCGUUAAUAUCAGCCGGAACACCAAAGGCGAAGGCAGCUUGCUGGAACAGUUCUGACGCUAAGGGACGAAAGCGUGGGUAGCGAAUGGGAUUAGAUACCCCAGUAGUCCACGCCGUAAACGAUGGGUACUAGC
RNAcentral lists this ribosomal RNA (711 nucleotides) under uncultured bacterium. Its description in RNAcentral is "bacterial SSU rRNA". It matches the Rfam family "Bacterial small subunit ribosomal RNA", at positions 95 to 820 of the family's 1533-position model. The record is from RNAcentral.